AUUGAACGCUGGCGGCAUGCCUUACACAUGCAAGUCGAACGGCAGCACGGGUGCUUGCCCCUGGUGGCGAGUGGCGCACGGGUGAGUAAUACAUCGGAACAUGUCCUGUAGUGGGGGAUAGCCCGGCGAAAGCCGGAUUAAUACCGCAUACGAUCUACGGAUGACAGCGGGGGACCUUCGGGCCUCGCGCUAUAGGGUUGGCCGAUGGCUGAUUAGCUAGUUGGUGGGGUAAAGGCCUACCAAGGCGACGAUCAGUAGAUGGUCUGAGAGGACGACCAGCCACACUGGGACUGAGACACGGCCCAGACUCCUACGGGAGGCAGCAGUGGGGAAUUUUGGACAAUGGGCGAAAGCCUGAUCCAGCAAUGCCGCGUGUGUGAAGAAGGCCUUCGGGUUGUAAAGCACUUUUGUCCGGAAAGAAAUCCUUGGCUCUAAUACAGUCGGGGGAUGACGGUACCGGAAGAAUAAGCACCGGCUAACUACGUG
This 486-nucleotide ribosomal RNA is filed under the name uncultured bacterium. Its description in RNAcentral is "partial 16S ribosomal RNA". It matches the Rfam family "Bacterial small subunit ribosomal RNA", at positions 30 to 507 of the family's 1533-position model. The record is from RNAcentral.